This 2393-nucleotide ribosomal RNA is filed under the name Listeria monocytogenes. Its description in RNAcentral is "partial 23S ribosomal RNA". It matches the Rfam family "Bacterial large subunit ribosomal RNA", at positions 1 to 2386 of the family's 2925-position model. The record is from RNAcentral. Lineage: Bacteria; Bacillati; Bacillota; Bacilli; Caryophanales; Listeriaceae.
GGUUAAGUUAGAAAGGGCGCACGGUGGAUGCCUUGGCACUAGGAGCCGAAGAAGGACGGGACUAACACCGAUAUGCUUUGGGGAGCUGUACGUAAGCGUUGAUCCAGAGAUUUCCGAAUGGGGGAACCCACUAUCUUUAGUCGGAUAGUAUCCUUACGUGAAUACAUAGCGUGAGGAAGGCAGACCCAGGGAACUGAAACAUCUAAGUACCUGGAGGAAGAGAAAGAAAAAUCGAUUUCCUGAGUAGCGGCGAGCGAAACGGAAAGAGCCCAAACCAAGAAGCUUGCUUCUUGGGGUUGUAGGACACUCUAUACGGAGUUACAAAAGAAAGUUAUAAAUGAAGCGGUCUGGAAAGGCCCGCCAAAGACGGUAACAGCCCGGUAGUUGAAAUAGCUUUCCCUCCAGAGUGGAUCCUGAGUACGGCGGACCACGUGAAAUUCCGUCGGAAUCCGGGAGGACCAUCUCCCAAGGCUAAAUACUCCCUAGUGACCGAUAGUGAACCAGUACCGUGAGGGAAAGGUGAAAAGCACCCCGGAAGGGGAGUGAAACAGUUCCUGAAACCGUGUGCCUACAAGUAGUUAGAGCCCGUUAAUGGGUGAUAGCGUGCCUUUUGUAGAAUGAACCGGCGAGUUACGAUUUGUUGCAAGGUUAAGCGGAAAAAGCGGAGCCGUAGCGAAAGCGAGUCUGAAUAGGGCGCAUAAGUAACAGGUCGUAGACCCGAAACCAGGUGAUCUACCCAUGUCCAGGAUGAAGGUAAGGUAAUACUUACUGGAGGUCCGAACCCACGCACGUUGAAAAGUGCGGGGAUGAGGUGUGGGUAGCGGAGAAAUUCCAAUCGAACUUGGAGAUAGCUGGUUCUCUCCGAAAUAGCUUUAGGGCUAGCCUCGAGGUAAAGAGUCAUGGAGGUAGAGCACUGUUUGGACUAGGGGCCCUUCUCGGGUUACCGAAUUCAGAUAAACUCCGAAUGCCAUGUACUUAUACUCGGGAGUCAGACUGCGAGUGAUAAGAUCCGUAGUCGAAAGGGAAACAGCCCAGACCACCAGUUAAGGUCCCCAAAGAUAUGUUAAGUGGAAAAGGAUGUGGGGUUGCUUAGACAACCAGGAUGUUGGCUUAGAAGCAGCCACCAUUGAAAGAGUGCGUAAUAGCUCACUGGUCGAGUGACCCCGCGCCGAAAAUGUACCGGGGCUAAACAUAUUACCGAAACUGUGGAUGAACCUCUUUAGAGGUUCGUGGUAGGAGAGCGUUCUAAGGGCGGUGAAGUCAGACCGGAAGGACUGGUGGAGCGCUUAGAAGUGAGAAUGCCGGUAUGAGUAGCGAAAGAAGGGUGAGAAUCCCUUCCACCGAAUAUCUAAGGUUUCCUGAGGAAGGCUCGUCCGCUCAGGGUUAGUCGGGACCUAAGCCGAGGCCGAUAGGCGUAGGCGAUGGACAACAGGUAGAGAUUCCUGUACCAGUGCUAAUUGUUUAACCGCUGGGGUGACACAGAAGGAUAGGGAAUCGCACGAAUGGAAAUGUGCGUCCAAGCAGUGAGUGUGAGAAGUAGGCAAAUCCGCUUCUCGCGAAGCAUGAGCUGUGAUGGGGAAGGAAAUUAAGUACGGAAGUUCCUGAUUUCACGCUGUCAAGAAAAGCCUCUAGGAAGAGUAGUACUGCCCGUACCGCAAACCGACACAGGUAGAUGAGGAGAGAAUCCUAAGGUGAGCGAGAGAACUCUCGUUAAGGAACUCGGCAAAAUGACCCCGUAACUUCGGGAGAAGGGGUGCUCUAUUAGGGUGCAAGCCCGAGAGAGCCGCAGUGAAUAGGCCCAGGCGACUGUUUAGCAAAAACACAGGUCUCUGCAAAACCGUAAGGUGACGUAUAGGGGCUGACGCCUGCCCGGUGCUGGAAGGUUAAGAGGAGUGCUUAGCUUCGGCGAAGGUACGAAUUGAAGCCCCAGUAAACGGCGGCCGUAACUAUAACGGUCCUAAGGUAGCGAAAUUCCUUGUCGGGUAAGUUCCGACCCGCACGAAAGGCGCAACGAUCUGGGCACUGUCUCAACGAGAGACUCGGUGAAAUUAUAGUACCUGUGAAGAUGCAGGUUACCCGCGACAGGACGGAAAGACCCCGUGGAGCUUUACUGCAACCUGAUAUGGAAUGUUUGUACCGCUUGUACAGGAUAGGUAGGAGCCGAAGAGACGUGUGCGCUAGCAUACGAGGAGGCAAUGGUGGGAUACUACCCUGGCUGUAUGACCAUUCUAACCCGCCACGCUUAGCGCGUGGGGAGACAGUGUCAGGUGGGCAGUUUGACUGGGGCGGUCGCCUCCUAAAGAGUAACGGAGGCGCCCAAAGGUUCCCUCAGAAUGGAUGGAAAUCAUUCGCAGAGUGUAAAGGCACAAGGGAGCUUGACUGCGAGACUGACA